Molecule: ribosomal RNA, 542 nt
Filed under: uncultured bacterium
Lineage: Bacteria
Description: bacterial SSU rRNA
Rfam family: Bacterial small subunit ribosomal RNA
Source: RNAcentral
UGGGGAAUCUUGCGCAAUGGGCGAAAGCCUGACGCAGCCACGCCGCGUGCGGGAUGAAGGCCCUAGGGUUGUAAACCGCUUUUAACAGGAACGAAAAUGACGGUACCUGUAGAAUAAGGUGCGGCCAACUACGUGCCAGCAGCCGCGGUGACACGUAGGCACCAAGCGUUGUCCGGAUUUAUUGGGCGUAAAGAGCUCGUAGGCGGUUCAGUAAGUCGGGUGUGAAAACUCUGGGCUUAACCCAGAGACGCCACUCGAUACUAUUGUGACUAGAGUUCGGUAGGGGAGCGGGGAAUUCCUAGUGUAGCGGUGAAAUGCGCAGAUAUUAGGAGGAACACCGGUGGCGAAGGCGCCGCUCUGGGCCGAUACUGACGCUGAGGAGCGAAAGCGUGGGUAGCAAACAGGAUUAGAUACCCUGGUAGUCCACGCCCUAAACGAUGGAUACUCGACAUACGCGAUACACUGUGUGUGUCUGAGCGAAAGCAUUAAGUAUCCCACCUGGGAAGUACGUUCGCAAGAAUGAAACUCAAAGGAAUUGACGG